RNAcentral lists this ribosomal RNA (508 nucleotides) under uncultured bacterium. Its description in RNAcentral is "partial 16S ribosomal RNA". It matches the Rfam family "Bacterial small subunit ribosomal RNA", at positions 28 to 523 of the family's 1533-position model. The record is from RNAcentral.
GAUGAACGCUAGCUACAGGCUUAACACAUGCAAGUCGAGGGGAAACGACAUCGAAAGCUUGCUUUUGAUGGGCGUCGACCGGCGCACGGGUGAGUAACGCGUAUCCAACCUGCCCACCACUUGGGGAUAACCUUGCGAAAGUAAGACUAAUACCCAAUGAUACCUCUAGAAGACAUAUGAAAGAGAUUAAAGAUUUAUCGGUGAUGGAUGGGGAUGCGUCUGAUUAGCUUGUUGGCGGGGUAACGGCCCACCAAGGCUACGAUCAGUAGGGGUUCUGAGAGGAAGGUCCCCCACAUUGGAACUGAGACACGGUCCAAACUCCUACGGGAGGCAGCAGUGAGGAAUAUUGGUCAAUGGGCGAGAGCCUGAACCAGCCAAGUAGCGUGCAGGAUGACGGCCCUAUGGGUUGUAAACUGCUUUUAUAAGGGAAUAAAGUGAGCCUCGUGAGGCUUUUUGCAUGUACCUUAUGAAUAAGGACCGGCUAAUUCCGUGCCAGCCGCCGCCGUAA